GGGACACGUGGUAUCCUGUCUGAAUAUGGGGGGACCAUCCUCCAAGGCUAAAUACUCCUGACUGACCGAUAGUGAACCAGUACCGUGAGGGAAAGGCGAAAAGAACCCCGGCGAGGGGAGUGAAAAAGAACCUGAAACCGUGUACGUACAAGCAGUGGGAGCACGCUUCGGCGUGUGACUGCGUACCUUUUGUAUAAUGGGUCAGCGACUUAUAUUCUGUAGCAAGGUUAACCGAAUAGGGGAGCCGAAGGGAAACCGAGUCUUAACUGGGCGUUAAGUUGCAGGGUAUAGACCCGAAACCCGGUGAUCUAGCCAUGGGCAGGUUGAAGGUUGGGUAACACUAACUGGAGGACCGAACCGACUAAUGUUGAAAAAUUAGCGGAUGACUUGUGGCUGGGGGUGAAAGGCCAAUCAAACCGGGAGAUAGCUGGUUCUCCCCGAAAGCUAUUUAGGUAGCGCCUCGUGAAUUCAUCUCCGGGGGUAGAGCACUGUUUCGGCAAGGGGGUCAUCCCGACUUACCAACCCGAUGCAAACUGCGAAUACCGGAGAAUGUUAUCACGGGAGACACACGGCGGGUGCUAACGUCCGUCGUGAAGAGGGAAACAACCCAGACCGCCAGCUAAGGUCCCAAAGUCAUGGUUAAGUGGGAAACGAUGUGGGAAGGCCCAGACAGCCAGGAUGUUGGCUUAGAAGCAGCCAUCAUUUAAAGAAAGCGUAAUAGCUCACUGGUCGAGUCGGCCUGCGCGGAAGAUGUAACGGGGCUAAACCAUGCAC
RNAcentral lists this ribosomal RNA (774 nucleotides) under Escherichia coli. Its description in RNAcentral is "partial 23S ribosomal RNA". It matches the Rfam family "Bacterial large subunit ribosomal RNA", at positions 419 to 1194 of the family's 2925-position model. RNAcentral also lists the same sequence under 1 other name. The record is from RNAcentral. Lineage: Bacteria; Pseudomonadati; Pseudomonadota; Gammaproteobacteria; Enterobacterales; Enterobacteriaceae.